This is a non-coding RNA of Suillus discolor, 70 nucleotides long. Lineage: Eukaryota; Fungi; Basidiomycota; Agaricomycetes; Boletales; Suillaceae. The record is from the annotation of a RefSeq genome assembly.
AUCUUAGCCAAGCGGUUAAUGGAAACAGAAUAUAAAUCUGUCUGCGCAGGUUCAAAACCUGCUGAAGAUG